AACGUGAAGCACCAGCAACAAGAGCCUUAUUCUUCCUUUGCAGAAUCCAGUCAACCGAUAAGAUUUGGGCCUGAUCAGAUGAAAUCUACCUCCCAGGGGCCGAAAGUAGUGCGGAUGUACUCAGGUUCAUCUUCACAGCCAGCUGAAUAUUCAUUGAAAGAGACAAGCCCUGUCCUUGGAGGAGGGCGUGUAGUAGGGGGUCGAGUUGUUCGAGGUGGCAGAAAGUCCAGCACAUAUGACCUUGUUGAGCCUAUGCAAUUCCUGUUUGUAAGAGUUGUAAAAGCACAGGAUUUGCCUUCUAAAGAUAUCACAGGAAGUCUUGACCCUUAUGUUGAAGUAAGAGUUGGGAACUACAAAGGAGUCACACAACACUUUGAGAAAAAUCAAAGUCCAGAAUGGAAUACUGUAUUUGCUUUUUCCAAAGAAAGAAUGCAGUCUUCUGUUUUGGAUGUUGUGGUUAAGGAUAAGGAUAUGUUGAAAGAUGAUUUUGUUGGGAUUGUUCGAGUUGAUCUGCAUGAUGUUCCAACCCGAGUUGCUCCAGAUAGUCCAUUGGCUCCAGAGUGGUACCGCCUGGAAAACAAGAAAGGGGAGAAAAAGAAGGGGGAACUGAUGCUAGCUGUGUGGAUUGGUACACAAGCUGACGAAGCAUUUCCUGAUGCUUUCCAUACAGAUGUAGCUAGUCCUAUAGAUAUGUCAGUGCCGUCCACCCAAAUCCGCGGAAAAGUGUACCAUUCUCCUAGGCUGUGGUAUGUUCGUGUCAAUGUUAUUGAAGCACAAGACUUGGUUGUGUCAGAGAAAAAUCGUAUUCCUGAUGUCUUUGUAAAGGUUCGGAUUGGUAGCCAGUUGCUGAGGACUAAACCAAUUAGAUCUCAAACUAUGAAUGCUAUGUGGAAUGAGGAUCUGAUGUUCGUUGCUGCUGAGCCUUUUGAAGAACAUCUGAUACUUUCAGUUGAAGAUCAUGUUGCUUCCAACAAAGAUGAGGCCCUGGGAGUGGUCAUUAUACCAUUAUCCACUGUUGAAAAGCGUGCGGAUGAUCGAUUUGUUCGAUCAAGAUGGUACAACCUCCAAGAACCAGGUUCAGCUGAGAUUGAAGAGCCAAAGAAGAAAGAAAAGUUUUCCAGUAGGAUCCAUCUUCGUGUAACACUUGAUGGAGGAUACCAUGUACUUGAUGAGUCAACUCAUUAUAGUAGUGAUCUUCGACCUACGGCGAAGCAGCUGUGGAAGCCAUCAAUUGGUAUACUGGAAUUAGGUAUCCUGAAUGUUGAUGGACUUCACCCAUCAAAAACAAGAGAUGGAAGGGGUACAACAGAUACAUAUUGUGUGGCGAAGUAUGGUCAUAAGUGGGUGCGGACCAGGACGGUUAUCGACAGCUUAAAUCCGAAGUUCAAUGAGCAAUACACUUGGGAAGUCUAUGACCCAGCAACCGUUCUGACAGUUGGGGUGUUUGACAAUGGACAGCUUGAAGAAAAAGGUUCAAAUGGCAAAAGAGACAUGAGAAUUGGGAAGGUUCGUAUACGGGUCUCAACACUUGAAACUGGUCGAGUAUACACACAUUCUUAUCCAUUGCUCAUCCUUCAUCCCUCGGGUGUGAAGAAGAUGGGAGAAUUGCAUCUCGCCAUACGAUUUUCAUGUGCAUCAAUGGUCAACAUGAUGUUUCUCUACUCUAGACCGCUAUUACCAAAAAUGCAUUAUGUGAAGCCAUUGUCUGUAACACAGCAAGAUAUGCUGCGAUAUCAAGCUGUAAAUAUUGUGGCUGCAAGGCUAAGCCGUGCAGAACCUCCUCUCAGAAAAGAAGUGGUUGAAUACAUGAGUGACGCAGAUGCACACCUCUGGAGCAUGAGACGCAGCAAAGCAAACUUUUUCAGACUAAUGUCUGUCUUUAGUGGAUUAUUCUCUGUUGGGAAAUGGUUCGGAGAUGUAUGCAUGUGGAAGAAUCCUAUCACGACAUCAUUAGUACAUGUUCUCUUCCUUAUGCUUGUCUGUUUCCCAGAAUUAAUCCUCCCAACAGUGUUUCUGUACAUGUGUCUAAUAGGUCUUUGGAACUAUCAGUACCGGCCAAGGUACCCUCCUCAUAUGAACACAAGAAUAUCACAUGCUGAUUUAACACAUCCUGAUGAGCUUGAUGAGGAAUUCGACACCUUUCCUACAUCACGGAGUUCAGAUCUUGUUAGGAUGCGGUAUGACCGUCUUAGAAGUUUAGCUGGUCGAAUUCAGACAGUAGUAGGAGAUGUGGCGACACAAGGUGAGCGAAUCCUGGCAUUGCUUAGUUGGCGAGACCCGCGUGCCACUGUACUAUUCAUUAUAUUCUGCCUGCUUGCCGCCAUUGUGUUGUAUUCUACACCUUUUCAGUUGUUUGCCGGCCUGUUUGGCUUUUACGCAAUGAGGCAUCCCAGGUUCCGCCACAAAUUGCCAUCUGCACCCCUGAAUUUCUUUCGCCGACUUCCAGCUCAGACUGAUAGUAUGCUAUAGGUUGCUGGUGUUAUGUUGAAAGUUUUCUGUGAUAUUUUCUGAAAUCCGAUUUCAAUCAUUGUCCUCAAGGAAAAUUUUGUCAUAUUGUCAUUUGUCAAGGAGUUGGAACAAAGCUCAGGGACCUGAUAAAUAAGACCAGGAAACCAAAGAAAUGUUCAAAAGUUUGAUUUGUUUCUGUAUGUUGUGCAGCAACUUAUUUGCAUUCUUAGCACAUUUUGCAGAUUUGCCAUGGUUCAUGGAAUCUAAAAUGGAUCAGGCAAAGAUGCUGAGAACUAUCUGUAUGUGUAUAUCAGAUGUGUACUGUUUAUUUUCUACAAAGUGCAUAAAAUCCAGUUGACAUAUAUAUAAUAUCUUUUUUCUGUACUUGGUGUUUAAUAACAUCUGAUUGUUAACCAUCCUGCGGUAUCAAAAUCAGAAAUUACUGAUUGUAAUAAAUUGAAAAUAUUUU
RNAcentral lists this unclassified non-coding RNA (2917 nucleotides) under Hevea brasiliensis (rubber tree). The record is from RNAcentral. Lineage: Eukaryota; Viridiplantae; Streptophyta; Magnoliopsida; Malpighiales; Euphorbiaceae.